Molecule: ribosomal RNA, 260 nt
Filed under: uncultured bacterium
Lineage: Bacteria
Description: partial 16S ribosomal RNA
Rfam family: Bacterial small subunit ribosomal RNA
Source: RNAcentral
AGGGCAGCCAAGUCGUGAGGCGGAGCUAAUCCCUUAAAGCCAUUCUCAGUUCGGAUUGUAGGCUGAAACUCGCCUACAUGAAGCUGGAGUUACUAGUAAUCGCAGAUCAGAAUGCUGCGGUGAAUGCGUUCCCGGGUCUUGUACACACCGCCCGUCACACCACGGAAGUUGGGGGCGCCCGAAGCUACUUAGCUAACCCAUUUGGGAAGCGAGUGUCGAAGGUGAAAUCAAUAACUGGGGUGAAGUCGUAACAAGGUACC